RNAcentral lists this ribosomal RNA (267 nucleotides) under uncultured bacterium. RNAcentral describes it as "partial 16S ribosomal RNA". It matches the Rfam family "Bacterial small subunit ribosomal RNA", at positions 86 to 354 of the family's 1533-position model. The record is from RNAcentral.
UGCCGGCGACCGGCGGACGGGUGCGUAACGCGUAUGUAACCUACCUUUGACAGGGGGAUAACAUCGAGAAAUUGGUACUAAUACCCCAUAACAUCACCGGAGGCAUCUUCGGUGGUUGAAAACUCAGGUGGUCAGAGAUGGACAUGCGUUGUAUUAGCUAGUUGGUGAGGUAACGGCUCACCAAGGCGACGAUACAUAGGGGGACUGAGAGGUCAACCCCCCACACUGGUACUGAGACACGGACCAAACUCCUACGGAAGGCAGCAG